Molecule: ribosomal RNA, 253 nt
Filed under: uncultured bacterium
Lineage: Bacteria
Description: partial 16S ribosomal RNA
Rfam family: Bacterial small subunit ribosomal RNA
Source: RNAcentral
UACAGAGGUCUCAAGCGUUGUUCGGAUUCAUUGGGCGUAAAGGGUGCGUAGGCGGCGCGGUAAGUCGGGUGUGAAAUCUCGGAGCUUAACUCCGAAACUGCAUUCGAUACUGCCGUGCUUGAGGACUGGAGAGGAGACUGGAAUUUACGGUGUAGCGGUGAAAUGCGUAGAUAUCUGGAGGAACACCGGUGGCGAAGGCGGCAUCCUGGACCGGUAUUGACGCUGAGGAGCGAAAGCGUGGGGAGCAUACAGG